Molecule: transfer RNA, 65 nt
Filed under: Plica plica (tree runner)
Lineage: Eukaryota; Metazoa; Chordata; Lepidosauria; Squamata; Tropiduridae
Description: tRNA-Ser specifying AGY codons
Source: RNAcentral
AAGGUGCGUUUGAACAAAAGACCUGCUAAUUCCUACUACUGAAGUUAAAAUCUUCAGGCACCUUA